Molecule: ribosomal RNA, 292 nt
Filed under: uncultured bacterium
Lineage: Bacteria
Description: partial 16S ribosomal RNA
Rfam family: Bacterial small subunit ribosomal RNA
Source: RNAcentral
GUGUCAGCCGCCGCGGUAAUACGUAGGGUGCGAGCGUUAAUCGGAAUUACUGGGCGUAAAGCGUGCGCAGGCGGUUUCGCAAGUCAGAUGUGAAAGCCCCGGGCUUAACCUGGGAACUGCGUUUGAAACUACGAAGCUAGAGUACGGCAGAGGGAGGUGGAAUUCCAAGUGUAGCAGUGAAAUGCGUAGAUAUUUGGAGGAACACCGAUGGCGAAGGCAGCCUCCUGGGCUAGUACUGACGCUCAUGCACGAAAGCGUGGGGAGCAAACAGGAUUAGAUACCCUCGUAGUCC